CCCCACACACACACACACACGCACACACACACACAAACAAAGAGGCGUUAGGCUGAGACGCUGAAAGUCCGGAUUUAAAGUGCAGAAAAUGAAGCCAUUGAAUCUGCCUGUCCAUGACGUACAAAGACACACUAUGAGCCAGUAUGAUCCGACCAGACCUUACAUCAGCAUUGAGGAGUUGUCGGAGAAGAAAGAGGCUGAUUGAAGCGGGACAGAUGACAUGGAUCCAUCCUUCCACAGCCAGGAGUGCACCGACCUGUGUCCCACACUUCAUAUAAGACUGGAAGCUACACUGAUCUCACAGCUACACACCACAGACGUCUACACACUGGAGAAGAGUCCCACAAAGAAGUCAUGACCCAGAGGCUGCAGAGAAA
Limanda limanda (common dab) is the source of this 377-nucleotide long non-coding RNA. RefSeq lists it as uncharacterized. NCBI's taxonomy places the organism in Eukaryota, Metazoa, Chordata, Actinopteri, Pleuronectiformes, Pleuronectidae. The transcript is spliced from 3 exons. The record is from RefSeq and is a predicted model, not a curated record.